GACGAACGCUGGCGGCGUGCUUAACACAAGCAAGUCGAACGGAAAGGCCCUGCUUUUGUGGGGUGCUCGAGUGGCGAACGGGUGAGUAACACGUGAGUAACCUGCCCUUGACUUUGGGAUAACUUCAGGAAACUGGGGCUAAUACCGGAUAGGAGCUCCUGCUGCAUGGUGGGGGUUGGAAAGUUUCGGCGGUUGGGGAUGGACUCGCGGCUUAUCAGCUUGUUGGUGGGGUAGUGGCUUACCAAGGCUUUGACGGGUAGCCGGCCUGAGAGGGUGACCGGCCACAUUGGGACUGAGAUACGGCCCAGACUCCUACGGGAGGCAGCAGUGGGGAAUAUUGCACAAUGGGCGGAAGCCUGAUGCGGCAACGCCGCGUGCGGGAUGACGGCCUUCGGGUUGUAAACCGCUUUCGCCUGUGACGAAGCGUGAGUGACGGUAAUGGGUAAAGAAGCACCGGCUAACUACGUG
Molecule: ribosomal RNA, 468 nt
Filed under: uncultured bacterium
Lineage: Bacteria
Description: partial 16S ribosomal RNA
Rfam family: Bacterial small subunit ribosomal RNA
Source: RNAcentral